This 964-nucleotide long non-coding RNA is filed under the name Monodelphis domestica (gray short-tailed opossum). RNAcentral's name for it is "lncRNA (ENSMODG00000030346.2)". The record is from RNAcentral. Lineage: Eukaryota; Metazoa; Chordata; Mammalia; Didelphimorphia; Didelphidae.
UCAGCACUUUGGAGAGGAAGCAGAUUGGAUUUAAGAAGAGAAAAUAUAAAGAAAGACCUUCUUUAGGAAUAAGCUUGAGAAGUCAAGAGAUUUUCAAUUAUGCUUUAAAACAGAGUUUUCUCAUCUUGGAUAAGCUGUUUGGCCUCUCGGCUGCUGUAUCCCAACUUUGCAAAAUUUCAAACACGGAUAAUCAUCAACUCACCCACUGGCUCUUGCCCUAUGUAAGAGAGCAUCACACUUAAGUAGUUAAUAAUUGUGGGUUACAGUUUACUUAUUUUCUGACGUCUGUUUGCAUUUGUGGCAAGGGUAGGCAAAGUCUUCCAUCAGGUUUGCUGUAAAUUCAAAUACCAGCCAUCCUGCCCUGGCUAGCCCAGCUGGGUCUCUGGGUAUUAACUCGGCAGACAUCUGAUAAAGUGUUCCAGCAGGAAAAGUCAUUACCCACAGCUUUGCUUGGGGGAAGGAAGCGGAGGACCUGGGCCAUUUUACAUUUUUCUCAUUUCUCCCUGUCACGUUGGGACACAAUAUCAUGCAACCUAACAGUGUGAUGAGCUGAGAUGAGACACUGGGUCUGAGCACUCGAUGUUCGAGGCUGCCAAACACAACACCCACAACAUGUUAAAUGAAGAAAGUGACUCAGUGUGCAGAGAGAGACUUCUCCCGGAGAACCCAGAAGUCCAUUUAUACUUGAGGACCCUUCUGCCUGGAGCAUACGUGAGGUAAUACAUGUUAUAUAUGUAUUCAUGUUCAUUUUACUUUGUGAAAGAAGAUACAUAUCACUUACACUGAGGAAAAAUUCAUGGAGAAAAUCAAAUGAAGAAUGAUGACAAAACUGAGGUCCAUACAGGUUAAACGGUAUUAAGUGGUCCUGGUAUCACAUAAGUCACAAGUGGCAAAGAGGGGAUUCAAACUCAGGUCUUCAUGGAAUACAAAGCUGUAAACAGAAUAAAGGUCCAUCUACUGGGCA